GGGGUUUGUGAAAAUAUUGUGGUGAAUAGGGAUGAAUAAAAUCAAAACACUGACGCAAAAAGAAAUGCAAACACAAAUCUAAAAACGGUUUUCAAGAGAGACUGAAAACGGUUGGUCAUUAACUUGAUUACAAUGCUUCCAAUCACAGAUUAACACAAUAAAGGAGCUACUCUAACCUCUAAGCCAACACAGUUAAGCAACUAAGCGAAGGCUAACUAUGUUUUCAUAAAAGUGAACUAAUC
This 242-nucleotide long non-coding RNA is filed under the name Vigna radiata. RNAcentral's name for it is "long non-coding RNA (VRAD_LNC014337)". Lineage: Eukaryota; Viridiplantae; Streptophyta; Magnoliopsida; Fabales; Fabaceae. The record is from RNAcentral.